RNAcentral lists this ribosomal RNA (466 nucleotides) under uncultured bacterium. RNAcentral describes it as "bacterial SSU rRNA". It matches the Rfam family "Bacterial small subunit ribosomal RNA", at positions 355 to 819 of the family's 1533-position model. The record is from RNAcentral.
UGGGGAAUUUUGGACAAUGGGGGAAACCCUGAUCCAGCCAUUCCGCGUGAGUGAAGAAGGCCUUCGGGUUGUAAAGCUCUUUCGGCAGGAACGAAACGGUUUGGGCUAAUACCCCAGACUACUGACGGUACCUGAAGAAGAAGCACCGGCUAACUACGUGCCAGCAGCCGCGGUAAUACGUAGGGUGCGAGCGUUAAUCGGAUUUACUGGGCGUAAAGCAUGCGCAGGCGGCGGUUCAAGUCAGGUGUGAAAUCCCCGAGCUUAACUUGGGAAUUGCGCUUGAAACUAGAUCGCUAGAGUACGGCAGAGGGGGGUAGAAUUCCACGUGUAGCAGUGAAAUGCGUAGAGAUGUGGAGGAACACCGAUGGCGAAGGCAGCCCCCUGGGCCUGUACUGACGCUCAUGCAUGAAAGCGUGGGGAGCAAACAGGAUUAGAUACCCCCGUAGUCCCUGAGCGGGCUGGCAAG